CGCGCAACCCUGGUCGCACAGCCAGAUUUGGUCACGCGACCAGAUCUGGUCACUAUGAUCAUUGACCCGCUCUAGUCCGACAACCAGCUUUGCGUUGGUGUAAAGGGAAGGGUGGCAGAGAGAGAGAGGGGCAAGGAGGUGGCUAGAGAGAGAGAGAGAGUGAGAAGAGGGAGACAGGAGAGAAAGGAAGCAAAGCAAAAAAAAGAUAGGAGUUGUGCAACAGCGAGGUGGUGCAUUGAGG
This 241-nucleotide long non-coding RNA is filed under the name Coffea arabica (coffee). RNAcentral's name for it is "long non-coding RNA (CARA_LNC006824)". The record is from RNAcentral. Lineage: Eukaryota; Viridiplantae; Streptophyta; Magnoliopsida; Gentianales; Rubiaceae.